RNAcentral lists this ribosomal RNA (125 nucleotides) under Candidatus Poseidoniales archaeon. RNAcentral's name for it is "Marine Group II euryarchaeote (marine metagenome) partial 23S ribosomal RNA". It matches the Rfam family "Archaeal large subunit ribosomal RNA", at positions 2804 to 2931 of the family's 2987-position model. Lineage: Archaea; Methanobacteriati; Thermoplasmatota; Candidatus Poseidoniia; Candidatus Poseidoniales. RNAcentral also lists the same sequence under 1 other name. The record is from RNAcentral.
CAAUGCUGGGUAGCCACGCCCUGAUGGAUAAGAGCUGAAAGCAUCUAAGCUCGAAGCCGCCCCAGAGACGAGACACCUCAGAACGCUCGUAAAAGACGAGUUUGAUAGACUGCGGAUGUAAGCAC